Molecule: ribosomal RNA, 496 nt
Filed under: uncultured bacterium
Lineage: Bacteria
Description: partial 16S ribosomal RNA
Rfam family: Bacterial small subunit ribosomal RNA
Source: RNAcentral
AUGAACGCUGGCGGCGUGCCUAAUACAUGCAAGUCGAGCGAACAGACGAGGAGCUUGCUCCUCUGACGUUAGCGGCGGACGGGUGAGUAACACGUGGAUAACCUACCUAUAAGACUGGGAUAACUUCGGGAAACCGGAGCUAAUACCGGAUAAUAUAUUGAACCGCAUGGUUCCAUAGUUAAAGACGGUUUUGCUGUCACUUAUAGAUGGAUCCGCGCCGCAUUAGCUAGUUGGUAAGGUAACGGCUUACCAAGGCAACGAUGCGUAGCCGACCUGAGAGGGUGAACGGCCACACUGUAACUGAGACACGGUCCAGACUCCUAAGGGAGGCAGCAGUAGGGAAUCUUCCGCAAUGGGCGAAAGCCUGACGGAGCAACGCCGCGUGAGUGAUGAAGGUCUUCGGAUCGUAAAACUCUGUUAUUAGGGAAGAACAAAUGUGUAAGUACCUAUGCACGUCUUGACGGUACCUAAUAAGAAAGCCACGGCUAACUACGUG